RNAcentral lists this ribosomal RNA (381 nucleotides) under uncultured eukaryote. Its description in RNAcentral is "partial 18S ribosomal RNA". It matches the Rfam family "Eukaryotic small subunit ribosomal RNA", at positions 592 to 976 of the family's 1831-position model. The record is from RNAcentral.
CAAUAGCGUAUAUUAAAGUUGUUGCGGUAAAAAAGCUCGUAGUUGGAUUUCUACCGAAGAUAGCCGGUCGGGUCUUCGACCUUGUAUCUGGUUUUGUCUUUGGUAUCCUCAUAGGGAACGUUUCUGCGCUUUAUUGCGUGGUGCGGUAUCUAUGACUUUUACUUUGAGGAAAUUAGAGUGUUCACGGCAGGCAAACGCCUUGAAUAUAUUAGCAUGGAAUAAUAACAUAGGAUCUUCGUCCUAUUUUGUUGGUUUCUAGGGCUAAGAUAAUGAUUAAUAGGGAUAAUUGGGGGCAUCUGUAUCAACGCGUCAGAGGUGGAAUUCUUGGAUUGCGUUGCGACAAACUACUGCGAAAGCAUUUGCCAAGGAUUUUUUCAUUGA